Syzygium oleosum is the source of this 156-nucleotide long non-coding RNA. RefSeq lists it as uncharacterized. The record is from RefSeq and is a predicted model, not a curated record. The transcript is spliced from 3 exons. Lineage: Eukaryota; Viridiplantae; Streptophyta; Magnoliopsida; Myrtales; Myrtaceae.
AGGACAAUACUGCUUUUGAAAAGCAGAGUGCUCUUUUCGCUUUGGCUGUCUCCGAUAUAGUGCUCAUAAACAUGUGGUGUCAAGAUAUUGGCCGUGAAAAAGCUGCCAGCAAGCCUCUUCUGAAAUCUGUAUUCCAGGUCAUGAUGCGAUUGUUUA